RNAcentral lists this long non-coding RNA (351 nucleotides) under Rattus norvegicus (Norway rat). RNAcentral's name for it is "long non-coding RNA NONRATT006653". The record is from RNAcentral. Lineage: Eukaryota; Metazoa; Chordata; Mammalia; Rodentia; Muridae.
GCAGCUUGCUGACAAGUACCACUUCCGGGGCCACCUGGGGGACCAGGACUUCUUCACCAUGAUCGGCAUGGAGCACCCGGAACUCUUCCACGUGCUGGACUGCACCUGGAACCGGCAGCUGUGCACCUGGUGGAGGGACCAUGGCUACAGCGACGUCUUCCCGGCAUACUUUCACUGUGAGGGCCACGUCAAGAUCUACCAUGGGAACUGCAACACUCCUAUCCCAGAGGACUAGGCACCAGCUCGCCCGCUAUGCCAGUGGGGCUCCCGGGCCUGGGAAGAGAGAGAGACUCGGCUCGGAUGCCCUCCAGGGGCCAGGUGCUGCAGAUGCCCCAGCUGGCUGGUUCCUGU